RNAcentral lists this ribosomal RNA (492 nucleotides) under uncultured bacterium. RNAcentral describes it as "partial 16S ribosomal RNA". It matches the Rfam family "Bacterial small subunit ribosomal RNA", at positions 29 to 507 of the family's 1533-position model. The record is from RNAcentral.
AGUGAACGCUGGCGGUAGGCCUAACACAUGCAAGUCGAACGGCAGCACAGUAAGAGCUUGCUCUUACGGGUGGCGAGUGGCGGACGGGUGAGGAAUACAUCGGAAUCUACUUUUUCGUGGGGGAUAACGUAGGGAAACUUACGCUAAUACCGCAUACGACCUACGGGUGAAAGCAGGGGAUCUUCGGACCUUGCGCGAUUGAAUGAGCCGAUGUCGGAUUAGCUAGUUGGCGGGGUAAAGGCCCACCAAGGCGACGAUCCGUAGCUGGUCUGAGAGGAUGAUGAGCCACACUGGAACUGAGACACGGUCAAGACUCCUACGGGAGGCAGCAGUGGGGAAUAUUGGACAAUGGGCGCAAGCCUGAUCCAGCCAUACCGCGUGGGUGAAGAAGGCCUUCGGGUUGUAAAGCCCUUUUGUUGGGAAAGAAAAGCAGCAGGUUAAUACCCCGCUGUUCUGACGGUACCCAAAGAAUAAGCACCGGCUAACUUCGUG